AGUGAACGCUGGCGGCAGGCCUAAUACAUGCAAGUCGAACGGCAGCACAGCAGAGCUUGCUCUGUGGGUGGCGAGUGGCGGACGGGUGAGGAAUACAUGGGAAUCUGCCCAGUCGUGGGGGAUAACGUAUGGAAACGUACGCUAAUACCGCAUGCGCCCUACGGGGGAAAUCGGGGACCGCAAGGCCUGGCGCGAUUGGAUGAGCCCAUGUUCGAUUAGCUAGUUGGCGGGGUAAAGGCCCACCAAGGCGACGAUCGAUAGCUGGUCUGAGAGGAUGAUCAGCCACACUGGAACUGAGACACGGUCCAGACUCCUACGGGAGGCAGCAGUAGGGAAUAUUGGACAAUGGGGGCAACCCUGAUCCAGCCAUGCCGCGUGAGUGAAGAAGGCCCUCGGGUUGUAAAGCUCUUUUGUCCGGAAAGAAAAGCAAUCGGUUAAUACCCGGUUGUUCUGACGGUACCGGAAGAAUAAGCACCGGCUAACUUCGUGCCAGC
This 494-nucleotide ribosomal RNA is filed under the name uncultured bacterium. Its description in RNAcentral is "bacterial SSU rRNA". It matches the Rfam family "Bacterial small subunit ribosomal RNA", at positions 29 to 512 of the family's 1533-position model. The record is from RNAcentral.